AAAACAAAAAAAAACACAAGCUGAUAAUUUUAUGAACUUCAUCUCAGGCAGGUCCAGUUUCAACUUAGUUGCUGCUAGUUUUGAAGUUUCAAAAGUCAUUGCCCAACAUGGAAAACCACUCAGUGAUGGAGAGUAUAUUAAAGAAGCUUGGCUAGAACGUGCACCUUUCCUUUUUGACGAUUUCUCAGAAAAAGAAAAGAUUAUUCAGCACAUUAAAGAUUUGUCCGUGAGCAGGAAAACAGCAGGAACCAGGUGAUG
Myotis davidii is the source of this 258-nucleotide long non-coding RNA. RefSeq lists it as uncharacterized. The record is from RefSeq and is a predicted model, not a curated record. The transcript is spliced from 3 exons. Lineage: Eukaryota; Metazoa; Chordata; Mammalia; Chiroptera; Vespertilionidae.